GACGAACGCUGGCGGCGUGCCUAAUACAUGCCAGUUGAGCGCUGAAGGUUGGUACUUGUACCAACUGGAUGAGCAGCGAACGGGUGAGUAACGCGUGGGGAAUCUGCCUUUGAGCGGGGGACAACAUUUGGAAACGAAUGCUAAUACCGCAUAAAAACUUUAAACACAAGUUUUAAGUUUGAAAGAUGCAAUUGCAUCACUCAAAGAUGAUCCCGCGUUGUAUUAGCUAGUUGGUGAGGUAAAGGCUCACCAAGGCGAUGAUACAUAGCCGACCUGGGAGGGUGAUCGGCCACAUUGGGACUGAGACACGGCCCAAACUCCUACGGGAGGCAGCAGUAGGGAAUCUUCGGCAAUGGACGAAAGUCUGACCGAGCAACGCCGCGUGAGUGAAGAAGGUUUUCGGAUCGUAAAACUCUGUUGGUAGAGAAGAACGUUGGUGAGAGUGGAAAGCUCAUCAAGUGACGGUAACUACCCAGAAAGGGACGGCUAACUACGUG
This 497-nucleotide ribosomal RNA is filed under the name uncultured bacterium. Its description in RNAcentral is "partial 16S ribosomal RNA". It matches the Rfam family "Bacterial small subunit ribosomal RNA", at positions 28 to 507 of the family's 1533-position model. The record is from RNAcentral.